RNAcentral lists this ribosomal RNA (434 nucleotides) under uncultured bacterium. Its description in RNAcentral is "partial 16S ribosomal RNA". It matches the Rfam family "Bacterial small subunit ribosomal RNA", at positions 29 to 507 of the family's 1533-position model. The record is from RNAcentral.
AGCGAACGCUGGCGGCAGGCCUAACACAUGCAAGUCGAACGAACCUUUCGGGGUUAGUGGCGGACGGGUGCGUAACACGUGGGAACGUGCCUUUAGGUUCGGAAUAACUCAGGGAAACUUGUGCUAAUACCGAAUGUGCCCUUCGGGGGAAAGAUUUAUCGCCUUUAGAGCGGCCCGCGUCUGAUUAGCUAGUUGGUUGAGGUAAUGGCUCACCAAGGCGACGAUCAGUAGCUGGUCUGAGAGGAUGAUCAGCCACAUUGGGACUGAGACACGGCCCAAACUCCUACGGGAGGCAGCAGUGGGGAAUCUUGCGCAAUGGGCGAAAGCCUGACGCAGCCAUGCCGCGUGAAUGAUGAAGGUCUUAGGAUUGUAAAAUUCUUUCACCGGGGACGAUAAUGACGGUACCCGGAGAAGAAGCCCCGGCUAACUUCGUG